UGGGGAAUAUUGGACAAUGGGGGCAACCCUGAUCCAGCCAUGCCGCGUGAGUGAUGAAGGCCUUCGGGUUGUAAAGCUCUUUUGGCGGGGACGAUGAUGACGGUACCCGCAGAAUAAGCCCCGGCUAACUUCGUGCCAGCAGCCGCGGUAAGACGAAGGGGGCUAGCGUUGUUCGGAAUUACUGGGCGUAAAGCGAGUGUAGGCGGUUGCCGUAGUCAGGUGUGAAAGCCUUGAGCUCAACUCAAGAAAUGCACUUGAUACUGGGUGACUAGAGGACCGGAGAGGAUAGUGGAAUUCCCAGUGUAGUGGUGAAAUACGUAGAGAUUGGGAAGAACACCAGUGGCGAAGGCGGCUAUCUGGACGGUUACUGACGCUAAGACUCGAAAGCGUGGGGAGCAAACAGGAUUAGAUACCCUGGUAGUCCACGCCGUAAACGAUGGGUGCUAGACGUUGGCGAGCUUGCUCGUCAGUGUCGCAGCUAACGCGUUAAGCACCCCGCCUGGGGAGUACGGCCGCAAGGUUGAAACUCAAAGGAA
RNAcentral lists this ribosomal RNA (536 nucleotides) under uncultured bacterium. Its description in RNAcentral is "partial 16S ribosomal RNA". It matches the Rfam family "Bacterial small subunit ribosomal RNA", at positions 355 to 909 of the family's 1533-position model. The record is from RNAcentral.